RNAcentral lists this ribosomal RNA (478 nucleotides) under uncultured bacterium. RNAcentral describes it as "partial 16S ribosomal RNA". It matches the Rfam family "Bacterial small subunit ribosomal RNA", at positions 28 to 523 of the family's 1533-position model. The record is from RNAcentral.
GGCGAACGCUGGCGGCGUGCCUAACACAUGCAAGUCGAGCGAGAGGAGUUCUUCGGAACAAAUCUAGCGGCGGACGGGUGAGUAACACGUGGGCAACCUGCCUUAUAGAGGGGAAUAGCCUUCCGAAAGGAAGAUUAAUACCGCAUAAUAUUGCAGCUUCGCAUGAAGCAGUAAUUAAAGGAGCAAUCCGCUAUAAGAUGGGCCCGCGGCGCAUUAGCUAGUUGGUGAGGUAACGGCUCACCAAGGCGACGAUGCGUAGCCGACCUGAGAGGGUGAUCGGCCACAUUGGGACUGAGACACGGCCCAGACUCCUACGGGAGGCAGCAGUGGGGAAUAUUGCACAAUGGGGGAAACCCUGAUGCAGCAACGCCGCGUGAGUGAUGAAGGUUUUCGGAUCGUAAAACUCUGUCUUUGGGGACGAUAAUGACGGUACCCAAGGAGGAAGCCACGGCUAACUACGUGCCAGCCGCCGCCGUAA